AGCAUCUGAAAUGAAGUAGGACCACCCGCUGAACUUAAG
RNAcentral lists this ribosomal RNA (39 nucleotides) under Helicostomella subulata. RNAcentral describes it as "partial large subunit ribosomal RNA". Lineage: Eukaryota; Ciliophora; Spirotrichea; Tintinnida; Metacylididae. The record is from RNAcentral.